Long non-coding RNA from Mercurialis annua (annual mercury), 621 nucleotides. RefSeq lists it as uncharacterized. The record is from RefSeq and is a predicted model, not a curated record. Lineage: Eukaryota; Viridiplantae; Streptophyta; Magnoliopsida; Malpighiales; Euphorbiaceae. The transcript is spliced from 3 exons.
AUGAGCUAGAGUGUUUCGGCAAUUACACUAAGAUUAGUGUUUGAAUUGAUUAAGGAGUUAUGUAUAUUUUGAAGCGAAAAUGGAGAGUGUGACAAUGAAACGUUGUGCGUUUUGCUUCCUAGGUUCGGAAGGCCUUCGACCAGCCACACCCUGACCCUAGUAGGCAGAGGUAUGAAGGCCAUAGGGGCUGCAUGGGAAGUCCUUAUGAGUCGAGAACGAAAGCUUUCAUUGUUAGUAAGUUCGACGGGCGACGGGUCGAGACUCGCCGAGGAGACUACUAACGGAACACGGAACGUGACGAACGAUAUUGCUUUGUUUGUUCUAGAAGAUUUUGGAUAGCAAGUGUGUUUCAUUUCAGGGUCAUAGUAAAGGAUAUGACGAACUUCUAUCCUUGUUCCAGAAGUUCGGAGUUUGUACGGAAUCAAUAGUGCUGCAGUAGUUGAGUUUUAGUAAGUUGUAACGGUGUGUCAAACGGUUUUGAUUGUAAAACGUAUACUCUGAUAUUUGUAAAAGGUUUUGAAACUGCGUUUUUAAACCGUAUGUAAAAGGUGGAACGGGCUGUGCUGGAUGUGAGACAUCGCAAUAUAAGACCCAGGUUCCUAUGUAAUGUUUUCAGGUUUU